RNAcentral lists this ribosomal RNA (513 nucleotides) under uncultured bacterium. RNAcentral describes it as "partial 16S ribosomal RNA". It matches the Rfam family "Bacterial small subunit ribosomal RNA", at positions 28 to 523 of the family's 1533-position model. The record is from RNAcentral.
GAUGAACGCUGGCGGCGUGCCUAAUACAUGCAAGUCGAACGCGCAGCGAAAGGUGCUUGCACCUUUCAAGCGAGUGGCGAACGGGUGAGUAACACGUGGAUAACCUGCCUCAAGGCUGGGGAUAACGUUUGGAAACAGAUGCUAAUACCGAAUAAAACUUAGUAUCGCAUGAUACAAAGUUAAAAGGCGCUACGGCGUCACCUAGAGAUGGAUCCGCGGUGCGUUAGUUAGUUGGUGGGGUAAAGGCUUACCAAGACGAUGAUGCAUAGCCGAGUGGCGAGACUGAUCGGCCACAUUGGGCCUGAGACACGUCCCAAACUCCUACGGGAGGCUGCAGUAGGGAAUCUUCCACAAUGGGCGCAAGCCUGAUGGAGCAACGCCGCGUGUGUGAUGAAGGCUUUCGGGUCGUAAAGCACUGUUGUAUGGGAAGAAAUGCUAAAAUAGGGAAUGAUUUUAGUUUGACGGUACCAUACCAGAAAGGGACGGCUAAAUACGUGCCAGCCGCCGCCGUAA